GGUUAAGCGACUAAGCGUACACGGUGGAUGCCCUGGCAGUCAGAGGCGAUGAAGGACGUGCUAAUCUGCGAUAAGCGUCGGUAAGGUGAUAUGAACCGUUAUAACCGGCGAUUUCCGAAUGGGGAAACCCAGUGUGAUUCGUCACACUAUCAUUAACUGAAUCCAUAGGUUAAUGAGGCGAACCGGGGGAACUGAAACAUCUAAGUACCCCGAGGAAAAGAAAUCAACCGAGAUUCCCCCAGUAGCGGCGAGCGAACGGGGAGCAGCCCAGAGCCUGAAUCAGUGUGUGUGUUAGUGGAAGCGUCUGGAAAGGCGUGCGAUACAGGGUGACAGCCCCGUACACAAAAAUGCACAUGCUGUGAGCUCGAUGAGUAGGGCGGGACACGUGGUAUCCUGUCUGAAUAUGGGGGGACCAUCCUCCAAGGCUAAAUACUCCUGACUGACCGAUAGUGAACCAGUACCGUGAGGGAAAGGCGAAAAGAACCCCGGCGAGGGGAGUGAAAAAGAACCUGAAACCGUGUACGUACAAGCAGUGGGAGCACAGAGCAAUCUGUGUGACUGCGUACCUUUUGUAUAAUGGGUCAGCGACUUAUAUUCUGUAGCAAGGUUAACCGAAUAGGGGAGCCGAAGGGAAACCGAGUCUUAACUGGGCGUUAAGUUGCAGGGUAUAGACCCGAAACCCGGUGAUCUAGCCAUGGGCAGGUUGAAGGUUGGGUAACACUAACUGGAGGACCGAACCGACUAAUGUUGAAAAAUUAGCGGAUGACUUGUGGCUGGGGGUGAAAGGCCAAUCAAACCGGGAGAUAGCUGGUUCUCCCCGAAAGCUAUUUAGGUAGCGCCUCGUGAAUUCAUCUCCGGGGGUAGAGCACUGUUUCGGCAAGGGGGUCAUCCCGACUUACCAACCCGAUGCAAACUGCGAAUACCGGAGAAUGUUAUCACGGGAGACACACGGCGGGUGCUAACGUCCGUCGUGAAGAGGGAAACAACCCAGACCGCCAGCUAAGGUCCCAAAGUCAUGGUUAAGUGGGAAACGAUGUGGGAAGGCCCAGACAGCCAGGAUGUUGGCUUAGAAGCAGCCAUCAUUUAAAGAAAGCGUAAUAGCUCACUGGUCGAGUCGGCCUGCGCGGAAGAUGUAACGGGGCUAAACCAUGCAC
Molecule: ribosomal RNA, 1154 nt
Filed under: Escherichia coli
Lineage: Bacteria; Pseudomonadati; Pseudomonadota; Gammaproteobacteria; Enterobacterales; Enterobacteriaceae
Description: partial 23S ribosomal RNA
Rfam family: Bacterial large subunit ribosomal RNA
Source: RNAcentral